Molecule: long non-coding RNA, 3195 nt
Organism: Astatotilapia calliptera (eastern happy)
Lineage: Eukaryota; Metazoa; Chordata; Actinopteri; Cichliformes; Cichlidae
Source: Ensembl
CCACAUCUCCACUGUAAACCGCUCCACCAUUUUCCUGCUUCAUGUAGUGCAACAAAGAGUUUCAGUUCACACAUGAUAGUACAAACCGUGACGCCUGCGUUUUUUAUGUUUUCGGUAAAUUAAAAAUACACCAGCAAUGAUGAACAUCACAGGAAGAGGCAGACCAGCUCUCAGUCCAACAAAUCCAUCCUCGUUCACUCCAUCUCCACUCUGUCCUCCUGUCUGAGCUGCAGGUGAGAAACAGGUGUGAGGUGUCAGCUGUCAGGUAGGUGAUGAGUGAAGAACAGAACAGAAUCCAUUUCCUCUUCAAACUGCUGUCAGACAUUAUCUACUGCACUCUGAUCACAACACCCCGGCUAGCUAUCGAGCUGGUGGGUAAAAUAUGUCUCCGAAAACGUCGGAGUGCUUUUGCAAAUAUGUGAUGUCUUUAAAAACCGAGCAGAUAUUUGAACUUUACACAGCUACAUUCUCGCCUGAAAAUAUGUUAAAAGUUUGUUUUGUGACGCAGAAAGAGUAAUAAGAGUAAUAUUAAAACUAAGUAGCUGCCGCCAUUGUUCGAAACUGGAAUAGGCUGGGCUGCGCUAUGAAUUCUGGGAUAGGUUGGGCCACGAACGAUACACCCGACCCAUCCUUCAAAUCCGGAGAAAUGAAGGACCCAUUUCUGGGCCGCAUUUGUCGGAGUCUUCGAAAUUGGACAGCCUUCGUCGUGUCGCAUUGAUGUAAUGCGGCCUCAGGAGGAUGUGGUUCCUGUAUUUGGACACAGCUAGGAUACUGGACACAGCUUCUUCUUCUUCUUCGAGGUUUAACGGCAGCUGGCAUCCUUGUACAUGCAGCGCUGCCAUCUUCUGUUUCAGUCCGUUAUUACACUCUUAAAUCCUACUUAUUCCAGCGUCUUUUGGGAUCUUACAAAGCUUCAAACGACUAUUAAAUUAGUCGUCGACGAUUUUGAUAGUCAACGUAAUCGUGACUAGUCGACUAAUCGUGGCAGCCCUAGUUUCAUUUUAAUAGACAACUUUUGUACACAAACGUCAACUCGACACCCACUUGAGAUAUAAACACAGAUCCUGCAUCGAGCUUGUAAGAUCUUCAGGGUGUCAGACUGUGGGAUGCAAUUUUUUCAUUCAAUGAGGAAAGAUUCUAAAAGAAAACAUGGCAAUACAAUUGAAACAUGGCAAAAACAGGUAAUUUUCUACAGGUGACACUAAGUUAAACUAUAGCUUAAUGAACAAUGUUUUAAUUAUAAUAUAUCAUAUAUACAGUAUGUUUAGUUUUUAUUUAAAAGUGCAUCAUAAAUACACUUAUAACAUCUGUAAGCACACUUCUGGUUAAUAAUGCAGCAAGUUAUUAUUGGCUCUCUCUGUCUGGACAAAUUAAUUUGAGUUAAGGGUAUAAACUCACACCGUCAUCUUCAUCCGGGUUACCACACACACAAAAUAGAUUAAGCCUUGCCACACUCGUCUAUACAACUCCUCAUUCAACAAUCAUUUUCAGUGAGCCAGCAGAUCACACACAAGUUACAGUACGAGCAUAAGUGCUAACAAUAUGUCAUUGUUUUACAAAAAAACCCAAACUACUCACCCAUGACACCUUCAUGUUUCACACCCACCAUUGGCUUCAAUGCCCAAAUCCCAAGUCCUGGGGGGUGUACUCAUCCUCCUGUCUGCUCUCCUUCCGCUCUGGAGCACCAGUUUUUUGUUUGUUUGUUUUUUGGUUGACAAACCCAAAGAAAACAAAAAACCCUUCAAAAUGAAAAUAUUUUUCUUCUACUUAGUGUGUCCCUAACACUCAUUUUCCUCAGAGCUCCUCUUUUGCAGAGUUGGUUCAAGUGAUGUAUUUCCCAAAAACAUUUCAAAAAUGCCUUUUUAAUCAGUGGAGUGUAAACUCCCCAAGUAAAUAUUGCAGUUUGAUAUUUGGACGUGUCAGUAGAACUCAUGUGGCACCUAGUUUACUGGAAUUCUGCGAAUAUGAGCAUCCAGUGUGACGUUGUAGAGGCGGCCCUCCUACUUUUUCGGCCGUGGGGGGAUUUGAUACACUACAAUGCAUCAGUCGCGUCAUCUCUAUUCACUCCAAUGGAUCAGUUUUGUUUUUUGUUUUGUUACAGCGAUGGCAGACGGAGCACAAGAGAGAGGAUUUUAUUAUGGAUUUCAAAAUCUUAUCUGGUUUUCUUAUUCAGUUCAAUUUCAUUUAUAUAUCGCCAAAUCACAACAAUAGUCGCCUUAGGGCGAGCCCCCAUAUGGCUAAGAAAAUGUCUGGAGGCGGCCCUGUUUGCAAGCAUAUUUGUGCCUGCGUCUUUUUUACCUUAUAAAAACAUCUGAACAAAAUUAAAGAAAUGUUAUAUAUUGGCACUCUUGAAAGGCGUUUUUUGUAUGUCUAUUAAAGUUAUUAGCAGAAAAUUGAUUGCAGCUUCUCCCUUUUGACAGGAACGUUGUUUGUGGCUCAAUGUUUGACAAGUAAGCGCCGCAGGGAACAAUCUCAAGUCUUCAUGUUUAAACUCGCGACUCUCCCAAUCAACAGCUCCCAAACCUCCGACCAACGCGCCAUCUACGAUGACCUGACGUCGCCACAACUUUAAGAUUUUGGAAAAAAUUUUAACCAAUAAAAGGCUUCAAAUACUUAAUCACACAAAAUGACGUUUUCACAGUCAGCGGGGGUGAUUUGUUUUGGAGUGUUCAGUGAUGUUAUGAAUAACAGAACACGGUUCGGCGCCGAGGCGAAAUCUCACCGGCGAAAGUGGACGCGGUGGCGACGACAACGAGCAUCAGAAUCCAGCAGGGCCACGAAAACGUUACAACAGCCAUUUGCGCUUAACCUAAAACAGCAAAGAAUGAGGAAGGAAUAGACGCAGGGUUAAAGUCACGGAGUCCAGUUAGUUUACGUACACAGUAAAGAUUUACUGAAAUAUCCGUUUGUUUACCGUCGUUUUAAACUACGACAGAAAAUGAUGUGACGUUGCUGUACCAGCUCGUACCGUGAACCCGUUUAAACGUUAGCGCUUUACAGAUUAAUGGUGAAUAACACGGUAAACAUCGAGGGUCACGUUCAAUGUGUCAGUAAAAACAGAGACGCCGGUAAACGUUUCUCUUUUAAAGGUUUUCCGUCAGUUACUCACGAGCUCUCAGCCACGUACAGCCAACACGACCACGGUGGAAACUACUCUGAAUGAGCGCACCGGAUCCGGUGAAGCUUCUUUACCGG